GGGUUGUGAGGUUAAGCGACUAAGCGUACACGGUGGAUGCCCUGGCAGUCAGAGGCGAUGAAGGACGUGCUAAUCUGCGAUAAGCGCCGGUAAGGUGAUAUGAACCGUUAUAACCGGCGAUUUCCGAAUGGGGAAACCCAGUGUGACUCGUCACACUAUCAUUAACUGAAUCCAUAGGUUAAUGAGGCGAACCGGGGGAACUGAAACAUCUAAGUACCCCGAGGAAAAGA
This 230-nucleotide ribosomal RNA is filed under the name Salmonella enterica. RNAcentral's name for it is "partial 23S ribosomal RNA". It matches the Rfam family "Bacterial large subunit ribosomal RNA", at positions 1 to 222 of the family's 2925-position model. The record is from RNAcentral. RNAcentral also lists the same sequence under 1 other name. Lineage: Bacteria; Pseudomonadati; Pseudomonadota; Gammaproteobacteria; Enterobacterales; Enterobacteriaceae.